AUUGAACGCUGGCGGCAUGCUUUACACAUGCAAGUCGAACGGCAGCGGGGGCUUCGGUCCGCCGGCGAGUGGCGAACGGGUGAGUAAUGCAUCGGAACGUGCCCAGUCGUGGGGGAUAACACAUCGAAAGAUGUGCUAAUACCGCAUACGUCCUGAGGGAGAAAGCGGGGGAUCUUCGGACCUCGCGCGAUUGGAGCGGCCGAUGUCGGAUUAGCUAGUUGGUGGGGUAAAGGCCCACCAAGGCGACGAUCCGUAGCGGGUCUGAGAGGAUGAUCCGCCACACUGGGACUGAGACACGGCCCAGACUCCUACGGGAGGCAGCAGUGGGGAAUUUUGGACAAUGGGGGCAACCCUGAUCCAGCCAUGCCGCGUGAGUGAUGAAGGCCCUAGGGUUGUAAAGCUCUUUCAGUGGGGAAGAUAAUGACGGUACCCACAGAAGAAGCACCGGCUAACUACGUG
This 459-nucleotide ribosomal RNA is filed under the name uncultured bacterium. RNAcentral describes it as "bacterial SSU rRNA". It matches the Rfam family "Bacterial small subunit ribosomal RNA", at positions 29 to 507 of the family's 1533-position model. The record is from RNAcentral.